This 1235-nucleotide long non-coding RNA is filed under the name Oncorhynchus mykiss (rainbow trout). RNAcentral's name for it is "lncRNA (ENSOMYG00000063214.1)". Lineage: Eukaryota; Metazoa; Chordata; Actinopteri; Salmoniformes; Salmonidae. The record is from RNAcentral.
AAUCGACUGAUUUCCUUAUAUGAACUGUAACUCAGUAAAAUCUUAGAAUUUUUUGCAUGUUGCAUUUAUAUUUUUGUCCAGUGUAGUAUUUGGGGGAACAAAAACAUCCAUGUUUGUUUUGUUGUGCUUUAGAAGAAGGUAUUAUAGCGUUUCACAUCCUAAGGGGGGCUUUAACCGAGAUGCGCUUGAGACUUUUUUUACGGUAGCAACAAUGAAAGCUCAUCUUAAAUGAAGCUCAAUCUCUCCUGUCUCUCAGUGGCACGUGGGAAAGCCAGAGCUCUGGCUCUAUGCCAGUGAGGCGACUGCAGAGAAUCCUUUCAGACGAGGAGCUGAACUUCCACGAGGAGACGUCCGGCGACGUGUCUGACCAAUCAGGAGACGGUGUUGGUGGAGACGGAGAAGAGGAGGAUAACCAUUAUGAACUGCUGCUGGAAGAGAGAGAAGAGGACAGCCACAGCCCCAGGGCCUGGAGAAGGAAGGACAAACCCCUCAGGAACAGUCUCAGGUAAAGAGAGAGAAUGUGACUUCCUCUGGGGUUCUUUCUACUUUACAUUGUUCUUAACUGUAUGAAUUUUUAAAAAAAAAUGUUUUAUCAAUGUGCUCAACUCUUAUCCUCUUGCGUAAAUACGUGAAAGGGUGCUUGGAGCCAAAGGCCUGAAAGCAUUCCCUAGAAGAUAAACGUUGCAAUUCAAGCUUUCUUUUACACAGGGACAGUCAGUCCUGCUGUCCAGAGAGUGUGACCACCACCACCGCCCGUAAGCAGCCAUCAUCUAGGAGCCAGCUCCAGAUCCAGCUCCAGCUGAGAGGCUGCUGCCCUAAGAGCCAGGGCAGAAACCAGGGAGCAAACCUGAGCAACACAGGGAGGAGAACCAGAGGCGAGAGCUAUAGGGGGGAUGGAGGUCCUGAUAACUCCAGGGGGACUGUGACCGUCCCCGAGCCGUUCAGGAUGAUGAUGAGGGAGGAGGAGAAGAAGAGGAGGAAGGUGAGGAGGUUGUUUAGUUGUAUUGUUCUCUAAAGAGUCUUGAAUGAAUAAUGUAACACAGCAUUCCAUAGGGAAUGUUCUACGUGUCAUAAAUACAGUAUAUGUAUGCCAGACGUGCUGAGCAAAUGUCCCUCUGGGUGUUUGGGCUAAAAGUACUAUAUAAAACUAAUGUAAUAUUGAUGCAUUAUUGUCAUUAAGGUCAGGACGCGUUCGGAGGUGGAGCUGGAGAACUUGCUGCUGCGCCGGGAGCUGG